Molecule: ribosomal RNA, 372 nt
Filed under: Kocuria sp.
Lineage: Bacteria; Bacillati; Actinomycetota; Actinomycetes; Micrococcales; Micrococcaceae
Description: bacterial SSU rRNA
Rfam family: Bacterial small subunit ribosomal RNA
Source: RNAcentral
CGAUGAUGCCCAGCUUGCUGGGCGGAUUAGUGGCGAACGGGUGAGUAAUACGUGAGUAACCUGCCCUUGACUCUGGGAUAAGCCUGGGAAACUGGGUCUAAUACUGGAUACUACCUCUUACCGCAUGGUGGGUGGUGGAAAGGGUUUUACUGGUUUUGGAUGGGCUCACGGCCUAUCAGCUUGUUGGUGGGGUAAUGGCUCACCAAGGCGACGACGGGUAGCCGGCCUGAGAGGGUGACCGGCCACACUGGGACUGAGACACGGCCCAGACUCCUACGGGAGGCAGCAGUGGGGAAUAUUGCACAAUGGGCGGAAGCCUGAUGCAGCGACGCCGCGUGAGGGAUGACGGCCUUCGGGUUGUAAACCUCUUUC